AGAUCUGAGCUGAGGGAGAAAGGUUCUUAGACAACAUCAAAAGCACGCUUUGUGAGAAGGUUUGUAAAUUAGACUUCAUUGGAAUUUUUUAAAACCUUUGCGCUGGGAAAAUCCUUGCUAACAGGAUAAAGAAAACAACGAUGAUGGGGCUGGGGAUUUAGCUUAGCUGCAUAAGCGUGCCUGGCAAGUGCAAGGUCUUGAGUUUGAUCCCUGGUACCACCAAUAAAUAAAUAAAUAAAUAAAUAAAUGAGAGAGAGAGAGGGAGAGAGAGAACAGUGACAGGAUGAAAGGGAAUUUCUGCAAACCACUCACCUGAUAAAGGACUCAGCUCUCAGAGUGAGAACCAUCAAAUGAACUCCAGCCAAGACAUGAAGGGCAGGUGCAUCCGGAUGGCACAAAGAGCCUGAAAGACCCGAGACCUCUUCUCCUCUUAAUUAGUGGACACAAACCAGAGCACAGGGUAUCCCCCCUGGUGCACCUAUGGUCCAGGACCUAAGGCCAGGGCUCUGGUGUGAACUGUGGCCAGGAGCCCGUCAGUCAGGUCAGUUCACCCUGAUUAAGACCCUUCCCUGGAGACUCACAGCUUCUCCUCACACCUUCCCUGCCCACCCCCAGGGCUCCCCCUCUCUCCCCUGUGACCUUGUUAGAUGGACUUUGUCACCCUCAGCUCAGUGCCCAGCCACUCUCACUGCUGACCGCCUAUCCCCAGAUUGCUGUUCCGUGCGGGCUCCUGCAGGCUGUGUACCUGAGGAUUUUUUGGUUGUCGCUGGAUUUGGGCUUUUACACAUCAGGCUGUUCUCACAUUCCCGUACAGGUGCUGGCAUGGAAGUAAGUUUUCAUCUCUGCGAGGAUAAAUACCCGGAGUACCACUGCCGAGCAGCCUCUUGGGCAUGUGUGUGUUUAUUCCCCGAUACACCAGCCCAGCUUCCAGGUGCCAGGCCUUCCUGCUAAAUUCACAAAGCCUGAGGCGCUUUCUCCUGGCCAAGAAAAGAGAUAGCCUGGGGGGGGGCCCACCUGUCCCUCCCCGCUCAGAGGCAUGUGGCCCCAGCCCCGAGGGUUCACCAGUGGCUUGGUGGCUUCCUCUCACUGCACUGUGUGCAUCUGUAGCCAUAUGCAGUUCCAAGAGUCCUUGUACCCGGAGCCCUGUCACCUGUUACCACACAGUCGCUCUUAGCUCUUCGUGCCUAGCCUGAUCUAAUAGAAGGGGACCCAAGUGACAGAUAACACUGUAUCCACCUUUCUGUCAGUGUACUUACCGCCAGCACUCUGCUCUGGUGGGGUGACCAUCAUGGAUGUAUAUGGGCAAUUCUUACCUUUCAUGACAUUUUCUCUGUCCUCCUCCUGCAGGAUCUCUGUUACAUCUGGAGAACUCUCUGCAGCCUCGCAGUGACCUGUGGCCAUCUCUGUUCAUACGGGGUUGGUAUAUGGGUCUGGGAGCCACCUGUGGACUGAAGAUGUUUCAUCCAGGCAGCUGCCAGAGGUUGAGAGGUCUGAGUCCACUUAGGUGCUGGAGGAUACAGGCAGGACUGCAGGGUAUGGGGUGGGGGGUGGAGCCCACCUUCGGUCGGUCUACCCAGCAGCAAGGCAUGUCCGUGGCUUCUUUCCACACCCGUGUUGUCUAGAGCAUGCACUAAGUGGUCUCUUCCAGGCAGCACUUUAUGAGCGCUCCUGCACAGCCUAUGCUUGGCCCAGUGUCUCUGUUCACCAUACUCUGGUGCCCGGAUGCUCGGCCACCGCAUAAACCCUUCCAGCCUCUUCCCGAGCCACAGGAACUGUGCCUGUCACCCACUGGCAUCUCGCUGGGUGCAGAAUCUUCCUCCUGAGCCCUCAAGAUGUGCCAGGUAGCAGGAAAGCGGGAGGGGACCCUUCACAGAAGGGAAAGGGAGCGGGAGGAGGAGGGAACAGAGGGAGGGCAUGAGAGACACAAGCCGGUCACGAUGGCCCAGGCUCUCAGAGGAUGUAAGAGGUGUGCUCAGAAAUGGACCAGUGGGACAGCCAGAGGCGCUGUACCCGCACCUCACAGAACCCUUACCGCGUCACCACCUCCUCUGGGGCAAUCCUGUCAGGCCUGCAUUUGUCCUUGUCCUGAGUGAAAGCAGGUCGUGAGAGUUCUGGGGUCCAGUCCAAAGUCAGGGAUCAGAAUGCAGGGCCAGGACUCAGCAGAGCCGGCCACAGACACUGGAGCUUCCUUCCUUGCUCUCUACCUGACUUAGCCUUGGUUUCCCUAUCUGUGAAAGGGGCGAGUCACCCUCCUGCCUUGGACAUCAUUGUAAGGUUGACCCAACAGAUCUGCCUGUGUUCCUGGAGUCACCAGGAAGCACAGGCCUCUCGGCUGUGGCCUGCUCCUCCCAGCUCCAGCGGCUUAGAGCAAGCAGCGGAGCCAGCACCUUCAGCCUCAGGUCCUCACAGGAACACAGAAGUGCGGGAGGCAGAGCAGGGAGGGUGGCUCUCCUCUGCGAGCCACCAAGGUUUCCGAGAGGAAGCGCUAUGCUGUCAGCCUGCAUCUGCCCCUGGUGAGGACUGCAGUCGGGUCCCCUGGCAGUGACAUCUCGCACAUGGAAGCUUUCCCCCACCAGGCCCCGCUAGCCUUGCUCUUCCGCUCCUAGAAACGCAGUCAUCAGAUUUGACAGUCAGUGUCAGAGUCCGCAGCCGCUCACUCUGAAGACCGCAGUUCUCCCAGCGCUGAAGGUUCCGAGGUGCUGCCUGCCCACUGGUGACUGCUGGCCAUGUCCCGAGAGCCCUGGUGUGGACAGCAGCUGUCUGCCUGUAGGCUGGUCUCCAUUAAAGAACAUCCCCAAUAUUGAAAUGCUGGGAUCCUCAUUCCCAGUGCAAUGGUGUCAGGGUGCCUUUGAGGUUGGACCACUCCUGUGCCCUUGGAGGGGCCCCAGAGAGCUCUGCCCCAGGGAUCCCAUGUGAAACACAGUGAUACCCAGCACACGGUGGCUGAGGUGAGCCUCGGCACGCCACACUUGCUCUGAGACUCACCCUUCACAGGUCACCAUGCAUCUGUGGGGUUUCCUUACAGCAGCUCAAGGGCCUGAGACUGCAGGGCAGAUGAGCACAUCUGCAUCUGGUGGAGCUCACGAAUGCUGAAGAGCAGCCACAAACAGUGGUCCAAGGGGCGACCAUUCCUACCCUACGUGGGCCUGGCUGUGCACCCAGGGCUUGAGUACUGGCGCUGGCCCACGGCUGGGUGCCCAGUCUGCAGCUCUGAGUCCUAGCAAGAACAUGGGCUCCCCAGGCCUUUGGGGUGGACAGGGUGGGGGCCUGUUACUGAAUCCCUAAGGCCCUAUUAAGGGGGCAAAACAAAGCGAAACCAAACAAAAACCCUGAUGCCAGCACUGUGUCCUAGGAUCUUCCUCUUUAGGGUGCAGGGCCUUCUCUGAACCCAGUUUAUCAGCAGCCCUCGGCCUCCACAUUAGUAGAGGGUGCAGUUGAGCUGAUUAUUUUGCAGUGGGGAGACUGAGGCUUGUAGUCUCAGCACUGUGGUGCAGCACAGGUCCUGAUGACCAACCAGGUCCAGAGAUGAACCGUAAAAGUUCUGCAGGAAGAUUGCUGCUAUCUGCCCCCAGCAGCCAAUCACCUCCAAAGGAUGCUCUGUCCACAGCCCGCUCUGGUCUCCACCUGGGGACCAAGCUUCCUCACGUAAAAGGCUUUGGCCAAUUCGGGAAAUGAAGCUCUGGCUUGGUGUGUGGCAUCCUGGCUUUGGAGAAGCUGAAACCACGUGGCCAGUUUGGGAUGGAGCGGGGCAGUCCUGCUGAACCCCACAGGUCUCUGCUCCUCCACUGAGUGAUGGAUCUGGGAACUGUGCUGAGCAAAACCCCAGGAAUUGUGCAGGUUUAUUCCACCUCUCCUCCCAGGGUGCUCCCCGAGAGGUGCUGGGGUGGGAGUGCACUCGGCCCCUUUCCUGUGCUGCAUCCAAACCUGACAGAGAACGGGCAUUGCACUCUGGCUCUUCUGCCCCUCUCCUCGUGCUAGUCAUCGUCCGUUACCCUUUGGACAAAGCCGCCUUGCGGGUGCUCACACUCAGGUCAGCUGCUCUGAGCCUGGGGUGGACUGGACAGUGGCUGCCCAGGAGAGGACAGUAAUAGGGACCAUGCACUGUGUUCCGAAUUCUCCAGUGACGGCCUCUUGUUCUGCUUUACUCAGCACCAGGCUGGAGCCAGGAGCAGCUGCUGACCCAGUAGCAAGGAGGCUGAGAACUGCUUGGUUCUAGGCUCAAGAAAAGUAAGAUAAAAUUUUCAAAAAGCUUUUAAAUUCAGUGGCCAGUUACAGUUUAUGUUAUUACACUUUUAAAAAAUAGGCAAUGAAUUAAAACACUGAAAAGGAAUUAGAAAAACAGGAUCAGUCAAAAAAAGGAUUUUGGUGAGACACUUUUCAAACUUACUGCUUUUAAACUUAGGCUCAGAGGUUCUUAAUUUUUCACUUAUUUUUGAAGUUGUCCCCUCUCCAUCCCUGUCCAGGCUUGAAGCCUCUGGGGGGAGAGGGCUGUGUCCCCUUCCAAAUUAUCCUAUGGUCUCCUCAGUACACAAGUGGUUUAGUGGCCUCUCCUGCCCAGCUGGCAGCCUUGGCUCUGUGCCCUGGCUCUGCCUGGCCUGUAAGCAGUUCACCCUACAUCACUCCCGGAAGUCCUGGCCACAGGAGGGAGAGACUUACCUGCUCCAAAGAAGCCAGCGAGAAAGCAUUCAGAACUUACAGUCUGGGAAACCGGGGACUGGAGCUGGAUCCACAUGCCCAGGCCGCUGGGCAGGAGAAAGCUGACCAGGCUGUGUAGACAAGGUCUUGGAUUAACACUGGGAGUCCCAAGUGCAAGUUCUUGCUGUGUAAAUUUUUUAGCAAACUUUGAAAACUGCCUGAGCUCCUCGUGUCCUGUCCAUCCAGUUAAGCAUGAGGCCAUCUGAUCCUGGAGCAGCACUGCUAUCUCAGAGCCUGUGAGAAGACGCUGGCGCAGCGCAAGGCACUGCGUGUCUGACAGGAGGUCCCCGGCCAGGAGAGCCCCAGCAGCCUCUGUGUCGUGGCCACCUGCAUUGCUAGCGGCUCCUGCUCCACAUGGAAGUCUUGAGCGCCUUCUAGGGCUCCCAGAAGCCAUCCCUGCAUCCUGAGCUGGGCUGUUCUUCAGCCCCACUCCUGCUGCACUGUAAUACCUCUCAGAGCGGGGCUAAAAGAGCCAUUGAGGUACCCGUCCCCCAGAGAAGGCCGAAGGAGUAGAGCUCAAAAAGCAGAUGAAAGUUGCUUGAAAGGCUUCAAAGAGGAAGACGGGUCUAAUCCCCCAAAGCUUCCUUUCAAUCCUUAUCCCUUCAUUUCAGAAAGUGGCCCAGGGCUUUUAAAAUGCCCAAAUAUCACUUUACAGCUUGGGGUCAUGAUAGAGAGCAGUCCCCAUUGCCGCAAGGGCUCCUCGAGGCUGCACCUCCUUUGCAAAGAGCUGGCACUAGAGGGUGGGGCCCCUUCUGGGGUCUAGGGUGCGGGGCAGCUGUCCUGGGGCUCCAGGCCUGGAGCUGCAGGAUAACGACCACCUGGGGAAUCCCUGAAAGCAGCUGAGUCAGGCCUUUCCCAGUUACUUCUGGGCGAGGCUUGCAUGUCUGUCACCAUGUGGAAGAACGCCCAGUCCUGCUACUAGGCAGCUUGGGAGUGAGAGAGUCCAAAGGAGGAGGAAAACAAGGCCACGGGUACAGCCAGUGUUCACUGCCCCAAGAGCAGUUCUGGUGCCUUCAUGGGCCCAGGGAGGCCAGCCCCUUUCCACACCCUUCCGCUGCCCAUGAAGAAGCUCAGUGUAACCCAUAGCCUGGGUCAGCACCAUGACAGUCAGAGACCAGCGCUGGGCCCAGAGCUGUGCCCAAGGCUGCACACAGCGCCGUGGCGGAGGCGCCUACAAGAGCUCUUUUCCACUGCUGAGAGUGGGGUGGAGAUGGGGUCACGAAGGGUCACAGCUACUUGGUGUUUGAUGGGGACUUGAACUUAGGUCUGUGCCUGAGACCUUUCCCAGUCGGACACUGAGGCUGCUGUCCCCAUGGUGGGGUGGCAUGGUCAUUGGCAGUGGCUCCGGAGACCCGGGCCGGUGGUUCACCCCACUCAGGAUCUCAUCUCAAGCUUCCCUGGCGACCUCGGCCCCUCCAUGGCCACCUCUGCUCUUCCGAUUCCCCCUCUCUCUGCAGCAGCUCAGCCUAGCCUCCAGCCUGGCCACAGAAUCUCCUGGGGUCCACUGAGUUGAAGGGCAGUGACAGGCAUCCUGCUGACCCGGCCAUCAGAGACCACAGCCCCAGAGUAAUCGCAGGGACCCUGCCCCCAGGCCUCUCCUUUAGAGAGGAGAUAAAAAUAGUGAAGAAACAACACUUCCCUCCUUCCCUGAAAGGCUGGCAACCUUCCAGGAUGGACUUAUGUACUUUUUGUACUUGGAGGAAAAAAGAGAUGGGAUUUGGUCCAAGAAUGGUCCUGCAAGCAGGAGAAAUAUGGAGCCGGCAGCUGGAGCGAGGCGGCCGAGUGGUACCGCCAGCUGCAGGCCCAUUAAUUAGCGGGCCUGGUAUGCGCGGUUCCCGUGACCCCGGUUCUUGUUGAAUUCGCAGAGAUAAUUUUCACAGAGCCUGACUUUCUCCCUGCCGUAUAUUUAUCCAAGAGGUACCUUGUCCGUUUCCCCUCAUCUCUCUGUGCAGUAAAUUUAUUCUAAUUGCAAAGAGAUAGAGUAAAAGCCUGAUUGAAUGCUAGGUGGUUUAUAGAGAUUUAUUUCGGGGGCUUAAGGGGUUUUUAGAGUGUGUGGCGAGAGCAGGGUUGGGGGUGCUGGGGAAAGAGCCCAGGAGAAAAUGUAGAUUUAAUGGAUCUAUAAAACGACCCGGCCGUAGACAAGGCUGAAGCAGCCUGGCCCAUACCCAGGUUAGGCUGGAAGUAUCGGUAGGGUUUUGGGGUUUCGGGGUGAACAGUAUCACUCCCCAGGCAGGAGGGGUCUCUUUUCCCAAGGGAAGAAAGUGCAAGAACCUCACAUUUCUAAGCAAACCUCUAGCACCUGCCUUGAGGACCCUGGCUGACUCCCUGAGUGCCCAGGUCAUGGCAGACACUUGUGAGUGCCAGGAUUUCUGACCCUGGCUCUGAGGAGUCAUCCCCCUGGAGCCCCGUGUCCUCUCAGGCUCCUGGGGAUAAAGAGUCUCUACUCUUUCACCUGCCUGCGGCUGGGUGGAGGCUCACUCUGCUGAACUUUUCCCCCAGAACCUUCAAGGCUCCUGAUCCCAGGAGUGACAUCCGUCUCUUUUGCAGCUGCUCUGCAAGUUGUGCUGGGGAUGAAUUUAGGACUUUCAACUGCUAAGUGGGUUCCAUUGUAAAUCUAAUCCCGGCUGUAAUGGAGACGUUUGCUCUGGAGGAAGAGGCCUUGCUGGGGGAGCAGGCCAGAAGGAGGGUGACUGCACCCCCUCUUGGGCCACAGGCAGAGGGCUGGGUCAGGUCAGAACCACCCUGACUUCCGUUUUUUCCAGGAGUUGGCAGAAGAAGACCGCAGGGAAAUGGCCAGGCUUCUUGAUGGUGAAGUGUGACACUCACCCAGGAAAACGCAGCUCUGGUGAGGCCUACGCCAGCAGGCAGGGCCCCUGGGAGGCCCCAGAGCUCAGGCCUCCUGAGUUAGGAGUGGCUGCUGCGCUCAGGGCCAGCACUGUCCAGCUCUUGGCAUGUGGCUCUGCAGACUGUGCUCCUUUCAGCGCAGGAGGUCCCGGCUGUGCUGGCUGCCAGUGGGUGUCUGUGACGUCCAGCCUGGGGACACUGCCAGUCAGCUGCAUGCAGGCCGCUGUGGUAGGCCUGUCUGCUGUCCUGGAUAUCAGGGACACUGAGUUUACUGUGUCAGUGACCACUCUCAGCCCCAGUGUUGUCUCUGCUCCCUGCAUCUCCCUAUACCACAAAGCUCAGGAGUCACGGCAGAGCCCUUGUUCCCGGGUCAGGUCCCAGGCAUCCAUCUCAGCCUCCCAGGGUUAACCUCGGCCUCCUGAGACAUGGUGUGCACCUGGCUCUUCUUUUCCUGCCUCACACUCAAGCUUCCUGGGACCCAAAUGAGCUUCCUGCAUCCCUGUCUUUGUCUCCUGGGAGCUUCCAGGGGUCACAGUGCUGUGUGACUCCUCAGUCCUGUGACCUUCAGGGAGAACUUGCCUUGCCCGGGUCAAGGGUCACAGUGCAUCCCUGGUCCCCUAACUAUUCCUGGGGAGACGAAAGGAGAGGUUAGUGCAGUCUGGAUACAAGUGAUAUUUCUAGCACCCUGGUUUCUGUCCUCCUCUGCACAAAGUUGGCGAUGGGGUGCACAGACACAUUUCCACUCCAGCUUUUGGUCAGGACACAGAUGUAUAAAGAACUCUCAUGAUCACUGUGAUGACAACUUCAUUCUGCACAAGAGUUAGGGAUACAGAGCACUCUCAGACCUGAGGAGGUCAGCAGCUCACCAGGAAGGGGUCAGAGGGCUUCAAAGGCAGAGACAGUAAAAAGGUUUGAACCCCACCACACCAAACUCACUGUCUCCCCAAGGUCUGUGUUCUCCCAGGGAGGCAGCAAGCACAGAGAGAGAAGCCCGGGGACUCCAGGUCAAGCCUUCAGUGCCUGUCCCCAAGUGUCUGGAGUCCAGGCCUCGCCCUCAGCUCUCAUCUGCCCACACAUUCACCGAACACUUGCCCUGUGCCAGGCCUCUUGGGAGCAGAUUGGCAGCUAUGCACAAAAAGAAGUUUCUAUAGUGUAAAUCUGGAGGUCACCGCAGAGCCUCCAAUGCUCAGAGGGGGGCUUUGGAAAGGUGAUUGACCUAUGGGGUGUUACGGUUUGUGUUUAAUUGUCCCCCAAAGCCUCAUCCAGUUGUAGGGGGCGGGCCUUUCGAAGGCACCUGAGCCUAGUGUUUGUGAUUGGCUCCUUGUCUGGUGCUGGGAUUGGCCGUGCCAGCACUAUACCCGCCCAGGGGCGGAGCCGGCAUAUUUUAUAAGGGAGGGAAGGCAGCUUGUGCUCUUCCCUUUCGCGCUUUCUGUUCUUGUUGUUUGCAGCUGCCAUGAACAGCUGCCCCUCAUCCACGCCACCCUGCCUUGCAGCCAGCUGUGUGGACGGAAACCUCCAAAAACUGUGAGCUAAAUAAACCUUUCUUUGCUUCACUUUAGGCACCUGGUAUUUUGUCUCAGCAACAAAAGAAAAGUCAUGAAGUCAUGAAAAACCAAGACAUGAAGUAGCUAAAUGUGCUCUUAGGAGGUAGACUCUGCUCGGAUGAGGCCGGUCACUGGCUUGUGUCUCUUCCUGCUUCCUCUCUUCUCUCACUCUGCUUCCUCUCUUCUCUCACUCUGCUUCCUGUCUGCUCAAGGUGAGCAGCUGUCCUCCAUCAGACCCUUCCACCAUGCUUCUUCUGCCUGGAGUCUGACCAAACAAGGAUGGAAUCUGCGGGGCCCAAACAAACUUCACUAAAGCCAUGGGGAUUGGGAAUUGUGUCUCAGUGAUGGGAAGAUGACUAACACAGAGCUAAUAUGCAUACCCCUCAUUCUAGGCCCAGCAGCACCUCAGGGAAGAAUAUUUACCAAGGUUGAGCCAGGCCUCACCUGGAGCAAAGACACUUCCUGCUGGCAACUGACCAGCCAGGCUCUAACAAGGAGUAAGAAAGAAUCUUCUAGAAUGUUCCACACUCUUCUCUGUAGGGGCACCUCCUAAACUCAUCACUACUCAAAGGCAGCUGCCCUAGGGCUCCUUCUCUACAUUAGCCUCAACAGCCCUCCAAGUGCAAAUCCCUUUUUAAAAAUACAGUAUCAAUAUUAUUACACCAUGGAUCUGUACAGUGUACUUUGUAGACUCCCUGGAGGCUAACAGGCCUCAGAAACAGAUCUGUGGGGUGAGUGUCCUUCACUAUGACUGACGAGACUUGAUCCAAUAGUUUUGUGCCCCUCUUUUUUCAGGAGAGCAACCUUCUCAUUUUCACAUCCCUAUCUUGUGAGUUUGAACAGCCUCCUGCUCUGCAGCUCCCUUGUUUGGGCAGCACCAUCUGCGAUGGUCAAAACCCUCCUGUUGGGUCGAGGCUGUGAUUUCCAGCUGCCCUCCCCUGCACACUGCUUGCAUAUACCCAGUUUGGGCUGGGUCCUCUCACCACACAUGGUCAUGGAGUCCCAGAAUCCUCUCCUCCUGGCCAACUGCUCUUCCUGAUAGUUCUCUUUCUAUGAAUGGGAUCAUUUUCCCAUUCAGAUGUGCUCUGCAUCUUUCCUUUUCCUUGUCUCCUACAUCUGCAUAACUCAAACACUGGACAGAUUUCCCUGCCACGGGCGUCUCCAUCACCAGCUCUCUGGUUCGGGCCCUGUUCAGCAUGGACCUGGUUGCUUACUGCAGCUGCCAUCUUGGGUCCCUCACAGUGGGGUCUGCUGUCUCCCUCUGUCGUCUGGAUCCUUCUCAUUGGGUGUGUUUUCGGUCUGGUCACUGGUCGUAAGCUCCCUGAAGAAUCCCUUGGUCUAAUGCAGUACCUGGUACAUGGCAGACACUUAGUAAACCCGGAUUGAAUUGGUUAUUUCUCUGCUGAAAUGUUCCAGUGGCUUCUUAUUCUCUACAGGGGGGCAUCCCACCCUGCCUCUUGAGUCCCCCAAGCGGCUGCCACUUAACCUUCUACUAUCAUUUGCCCUUGGUGCCAGUGUCCCAGUGAAGCAGACCCCGGCUUUCCUGCACGCACUCUACACAUGCACCCCACUGUCUUUCCUUCUCCUUUGGAAUGCACGUUAUUAAAGUGCUCGGCAUAACGCUUAUCUUUUUUUCCUAAAUGUAACCUUUUAAUUGAUAAGGCUGUAUUACUUUUGUGAUUUAAAAACCUCUUAAGUGUUUUAAAUUCAGUAUGUUUGAAAUAUUUAAUGAUAAAAUGGGAGAGAGGAGGCAAAAGGGAAGUAAAAAGGAUCAAGAUGCAAUACCCACAGCUACCAAUUCCCCCAGUGAAUGUCUUCCAUUUUUUGUUGCACAAAUACACUAAUAAAAAAGGAGGAAAAAGGAAAAAUAUUUACUUGAAUUUCCCCUGAUCUGAACAGUUAUAUGGGCAUUUAAAAUAUAAUUGUGGUUAUUUAUAUACUGUUCUUUUAUAUUUCAUAUGUUUGAGAUUUUUAUAUAAAACUUUAAAAAUGUACAGUUACAGUCAUGCCUAAUAUAAAGGUGUUUGCAGAAGGAUGGAGUAGUUGGUGGUGGCGUUCACAGUCUUCCUGGUUCUCCCGUUUCCAAGCGUGCUCCCCAAACCCCAUGGAGCUGAAUGUGCCCUGGAUGAACUCUGGUCCAUCCCAAGCGAGCUGCAGCUGUUCGUGCUGCUCAGAGCUGAAAGUCUCUGAGCCCCAGGUGUGGCGGCUGCACGUCCUCUCCUGACGGGCACUGGAGUCAGUAGGAAAAGCCACUGAGCGUGGGGCUGCUUGUUGCUACUCAUCCUGGUUGAUACGGAUGGACAGACGCAGCAGAAUAAGUCACCCCUCCGACUGUCACAGAGAAACAAGGACAUGAGAAGCAGUCUCGUGGCAAAGAAAGAUCGUGUGGGGAGGGCAGGCUACGAGAGCAUCUGCAGACUUCCCAGGAGCAGCAGUGAACACAGAAGACGGUGGAAAUGGUCAUGGCGGCUGUGAGAAGAGGCUGCCAGUGCCUGGCUGGGAAAUCUGUCCAUCACAAAUACGGACCUGCUGUUACAUGAUUCUUCACCUGUCAGCACUUCCCAAGGCUAUCUGAGCACAGGAAGCCAGGUGUGGUGGCAGACACCUGUUAUCCCGGCACUCGGGAGGCUGAGGCAGGAAGAUCCUUACAGGUUUGAGACCAGUCUGGGCUACAAAGUGAGCUCAAGGUCAUGGAAUGAAUCUCUGGGGUCUAAGCUGUGGUUUCUGUAGGCUUAUGAUUCUACUUCACAAGAGACUUCCACUAUAAGCCUUGCAGCCUAGGUUUCAGCCUUCCGGCCUGGACUCCUCGGCGCUCCAUCACAGACCCACUGGCCUCCUGAUACGGACUCGCAUGGAUACUGCAGUGCGCUGUAGACCUGGACUGCGCCCUUCAGGCUCCAGUGUGCAGAUGCCCUCCACAUGCUUCCUUAUCCGACCCUGUGGCUGACCACUGCUAUAAGUUAUUACACAUUUGUAUGUCCCGUAUCAUAUCUGU
Cavia porcellus (domestic guinea pig) is the source of this 12078-nucleotide long non-coding RNA. RefSeq lists it as uncharacterized. The transcript is spliced from 5 exons. The record is from RefSeq and is a predicted model, not a curated record. Lineage: Eukaryota; Metazoa; Chordata; Mammalia; Rodentia; Caviidae.